RNAcentral lists this ribosomal RNA (497 nucleotides) under uncultured bacterium. RNAcentral describes it as "partial 16S ribosomal RNA". It matches the Rfam family "Bacterial small subunit ribosomal RNA", at positions 28 to 507 of the family's 1533-position model. The record is from RNAcentral.
GAUGAACGCUGGCGGCGUGCUUAAUACAUGCAAGUCGAGCGAACAGAUGCGGUGCUUGUUCCUCUGACGUUAGCGGCGGACGGGUGAGUAAUAAGUGGAUAACAUACUUCUCCGUCUGGGUGAACUUCGGGAAACCGGAGUUACUAACGGAGAAUAUAUUGAAUCGCUUGGUUCAUUAGUGAAAGACGGUUUUGGUGUCAGUUAUAGAUGGAUCCGCGCCGCAUUAGCUAGUUGGUGAGGUAACGGCGUACCAAGGCAACGAUGCGUAGCCGACCUGAGAGGGUGAUCGGCGACACUGGAACUGAGGCACGGUCCAGACGACUACGGGAGGAAGCAGUAGGGAGGCAUCCGCAAUGAGCGGAAGCCUGACGGAGCAGCGCCGCGUGAGUGAUGAAGGUCUUCGGAUCGUAGAGCACUGUUAUUGGGGAAGAACAAAUGUGUAAGUGACUAUGCACGGCUUGACGGUACCUAGAUAGAAAGCCACGGCUAACUACGUG